GUUGAUUCAGAGGAAGCUUACAAGAGAGAAAAGGUUCUUCACUAAAAGAUUAACUAUUGUUUUUCAGAUAAGCGGUAUUUACUCAAGUAACACAUUCCUUUUCACUGACUUCUCUGCUUUUUCUCACAUUUAUCCAUUUGAUUUAGCAAGGGCAGAACUCAGAAGCAUGCUUGUGUUAGAUUGAAUCGAUCCCUAGAUGUGUGUUUGUUCUCAUCCCCCCUGUGCACUCAAGGUGACAACUGAAGGCUAAUGUAUCCUGAUGAUAUGGAGCAGUUUGUUCUGCGGUUUUAUAAUUCAUUUAUCUGGUUUUAUAAUUCAUUUUUUAUAUGUUAGAUGAAACCAGUUGCUCAAUCAAAGCUUUAUAUGUUAGAGCCGAUGUAGUUCAUUGUUUUUAGUUUGUUAUUGAGAAGUAGAGAACAUGAGAUUAUCUUGGAAAGACUGUCCAAGUUCUAAUCAUUCUGAUUUAUCUU
Molecule: long non-coding RNA, 470 nt
Organism: Lotus japonicus
Lineage: Eukaryota; Viridiplantae; Streptophyta; Magnoliopsida; Fabales; Fabaceae
Exons: 2
Source: RefSeq, a predicted model, not a curated record